AAUUUUGGACAAUGGGCGCAAGCCUGAUCCAGCCAUGCCGCGUGAGUGAAGAAGGCCUUCGGGUUGUAAAGCUCUUUCGGUUGGAAAGAAAUUGCCCAGGCUAAUACCCUGCGCGGAUGACGGUACCGUCAGAAGAAGCACCGGCGAACCACGUGCCAGCCGCCGCGGUAAUACGUAGGGUGCGUGCGUUAAUCGGAAUUACUGGGCGUAAAGCGUGCGCCGGCGGUUGAUUAAGACUGGCGUGAAAUCCCCGGGCUUAACCUGGAACUGCGCUUGUGACUGGGCAGCUAGGGUACGGCAGAGGGGGGUGGAAUUCCACGUGUAGCAGUGAAAUGCGUAGGGAUGUGGAGGAACACCGAUGGCGGAGGCAGCCCCCUGGGCCGAUACUGACGCUCAUGCACGAAAGCGUGGGUAGCAAACAGG
Molecule: ribosomal RNA, 423 nt
Filed under: uncultured bacterium
Lineage: Bacteria
Description: partial 16S ribosomal RNA
Rfam family: Bacterial small subunit ribosomal RNA
Source: RNAcentral